CUGGGCUUGACAUGCACUGGAAACCAGUAGAGAUAUUGGCCCCCUUGUGGCCGGUGUACAGGUGGUGCAUGGCUGUCGUCAGCUCGUGUCGUGAGAUGUUGGGUUAAGUCCCGCAACGAGCGCAACCCUCGUUCCAUGUUGCCAGCGCGUAAUGGCGGGGACUCAUGGGAGACUGCCGGGGUCAACUCGGAGGAAGGUGGGGAUGACGUCAAGUCAUCAUGCCCCUUAUGCCCAGGGCUACACACGUGCUACAUUGGCGCGUACAGAGGGCUGCAAGACCGCGAGGUGGAGCGAAUCCCUCAAAGCGCGUCUCGGUUCGGAUUGGAGGCUGAAACUCGCCUCCAUGAAGGCGAAGUUGCUAGUAAUCGCGGAUCAGCACUGCCGCGGUGAAUA
This 393-nucleotide ribosomal RNA is filed under the name uncultured bacterium. RNAcentral describes it as "bacterial SSU rRNA". It matches the Rfam family "Bacterial small subunit ribosomal RNA", at positions 975 to 1368 of the family's 1533-position model. The record is from RNAcentral.